Long non-coding RNA from Oncorhynchus tshawytscha (Chinook salmon), 2254 nucleotides. The record is from Ensembl. NCBI's taxonomy places the organism in Eukaryota, Metazoa, Chordata, Actinopteri, Salmoniformes, Salmonidae.
GCAAUCCGUACUUCAACACAACUUUCGUUUUGAUCAUGGUUGAAAGUGUCAAAAGUGCAGUAAGGAGACCGAAGUGACUUGAUUCCUUUGUUAAAUACAAAAUUGUGUGCAUGUUGGCGAUGUUUUUUAAUUGCCGUGUAUGAAUGGCAUGGCAGUGUACUCUCGGACUAGCUGCAAACUUCAGCACAAGGGCAACUAGCACUCGUUCUCCCGAGGAGGCCUUCCUAUAACAGUAUAGUACAUAUUAGUGAUCAAGUACAAUAGAGUCGGUGGAUGCUUCUCAUGUAAUACUUGAAAAUGGAAAAUAUUAUGACCAAUGUUUUCAUUGCUGGGCUCCCAGCGUGUGCCAUAUAUUUUCUUUACACCAACAUUUAUUGCUCUUAUAAACUACUGAAAGCUAAUGUGGUGUUUGACAGUUGUCAGAGCAUUCCAAGUUUUGCCUACCUUUUUCUCAGAUAUGUAUUCAGAGCUCUUAUCAAAAGACAGGGGCAUUUGUACUUUUGCGAUAGAGAUGUCGAAGGUGAAGUUUCCUUCACCAUCUUUAACUGCAGGUAAACUGAUUGCGCUUGACAAUGUAGCAGUCCAAUUUGUUUUAGUGCUAUGGUUUGAUUUUAUUAUAAUAAUUUCAAACAACACUGCCUUACAAAGAUGGUUGUUUAUUUGUUCACAUUUGGACCAAUUAUCUCCUAUGUGCUGUACUUUUUUUCUCUCUAAGGUUCAACAAGGAUCUACUGAGGAGGUUCUGUAGUGCAGCUGGAUAUGGCUGGGACUACCCAGACAUUGAGUUCAGGGAUAUCCUCUGUGUUACCCAGACACCCUCUGUCUGCGGAUGCUUGACAUAUUAAUAUCUGCUGAGAAGUUCAGAUUGAGCCCUCUGGGUAAGUAACACCUCUUCUGCUGGCUGGGUAUUGCAUGUCUUUGAAGGCCAUCCAAAUGUCAACACUCAAGGUACUCAGUUUUCUUCCUACAUUUCUGUAGAAUAUAUUAAUUCAAUUCAGCCAGAUGUGUAGUUCAUACAAAAUCCCCCCACUUCAAUACAUUGUUUCCUUAGGUCUAGUCCGGGUACGUCAGAGUUUGAGAACAUGGCAGCCAAUAGAUGAGCUGAAGAAGGGACCCUUCAAGUUGCAGGCUCGUGUGUUAGAGUACAGGGUUGUUGAAGAUGGGGUGGAAGUUGACAUUUCUUUAACUGCCAUUUCACACACUGACCAGCCAGUAUGGGAGAGUGUUUUGACAAUGCUCUCCCAGGACAGAGGCCGAACACCAAACACACAACCUAAAACUGAGUGGUAUGAUGGUCACAUGGACACAUCAGAGCCAGAUGACGUGAAGGCGGUAGAUAUCAAUGUUCCCUGGACUACAGGACUGAAGUUUGUGUGGGCUUUCUCUGACUACUCUCCACGUUGUCUCCUAACUCUUCCUGCUAAACUCUUGGGCUGCAGAUGUACCCCAACUCCUAGUCUAUGGAUGCUGUCUAAAUGUUUGGCUGAAAUUGAAAAGCACAAAGGAGUUGAUGCCAUUAGAGCCCCCAUCUCUGUCACCGCCCAGUUCAAGGAACCAUUGUUGGUACCAGGAAAAGUGACCAUCAAAUUUUGUGAGAGUGCGGGAGUGCAGUCCAAAUGUGUUAGCUUCCAAAUGGAGCAAUACGAGAGGAAGAUACCUCACAUUACGGGACAGAUCUGCAGGAUUACUGUAGAGGAUGUGAAUUAAAGAUGAAAACGGCGCCAAUGGCCACACCAGCACCGUUAUUGUUUUUGUUGCAGAGAUGAGGAGCAUCACGUAGCAUGGUAAAAAAAAAAAAAAAAUGCAGUACUCUUCUAUGAUGUGUUAAAUGAUGUCAGAGUUGAAAAAACUGUUUGUUGUUUGCAGUAACUUCUUUGUUGUAAUAUCGCAAAUGGUGUGGCUGCUUCACCAAUAAGGAUUCCAGCUUUAAGAUGAUCAGUUAUGACAUGACAUUCUAUAAAUAUCAGGUAGAUGAAAGUCAUAAUAAUAAGGGAUGAUUGUGUAAUUAUUAGUGGAAUGACAUCUCAUCUUUGCCAUUAUGUGGCAUCCUAGUCAGUGCGGCAUAGGCUUCAUGGCCCAGCAGGUGAUUUACACAAAUGUAUCUUCAAUCCAAAGUACCCCAAUACUGCUACCCUCUAGAGUAGAUAUUUACAUCAAACAAGAACUGCAGUCUUAAGGCAUUUUCUGUGUCCUCUACAACUCUAAUGUUACUAUGUCCACAGAAGCACCAUAAGCUACAGUUGAUGCAGACAAG